AUACGUAGGGUGCGAGCGUUGUCCGGAAUUACCGGGCGUAAAGAGCUCGUAGGUGGUUUGUCGCGUCGUCUGUGAAAUUCCGGGGCUUAACUCCGGGCGUGCAGGCGAUACGGGCAUAACUUGAGUACUGUAGGGGAGACUGGAAUUCCUGGUGUAGCGGUGAAAUGCGCAGAUAUCAGGAGGAACACCGGUGGCGAAGGCGGGUCUCUGGGCAGUAACUGACGCUGAGGAGCGAAAGCAUGGGUAGCGAACAGGAUUAGAUACCCUGGUAGUCCAUGCCGUAAACGGUGGGCGCUAGGUGUAGGGGUCUUCCACGACUUCUGUGCCGUAGCUAACGCAUUAAGCGCCCCGCCUGGGGAGUACGGCCGCAAGGCUAAAACUCAAAGGAAUUGACGGGG
Molecule: ribosomal RNA, 398 nt
Filed under: uncultured bacterium
Lineage: Bacteria
Description: partial 16S ribosomal RNA
Rfam family: Bacterial small subunit ribosomal RNA
Source: RNAcentral